CCGAUCCCCGCCCUCCCGGCCCCCGUCACCGCCUGACUCCCAUCUUCCUGGCGCCUCAGUCUUCCCCUCUGAGGAGCGGGCGCCCGGCCCGAGCAGGCCCAGCAUCUCCGACGCCGCUACCGCGCUCGUUGCUCGGCCUCCCUCCCGCGUUCCGUGAGCCCCUGCCCUGGAAGGGGCUGGCGCGGGCACAGCCCCGGACUCCGGGGGUCAUCACUGCCCAGACGGAGGGAGCACGGCCGCCGCAGGAGAAGGCACCGGCUGUGCCUGCCGAAUGGCGGGCAGGCUUCUUGGAGGAGAAACCUUCAAGCUGAGGGAUGAGUAGUGGCUCUUGUGCCCCGGGAGUGACGGGGGUUGGGAGAGCCUUGAACGCCACCGCCCUGAGCUGAGAGGAGGUGGCCUCUGCCUUGUGCACAGUGACCCUGGUGCCCAGUGACCGGGAGAAGUGAAAGACGUUUAAAGUGUAUCUUGUUGAUAAGACAGUGAAGACCUUUGGACUUGAGGGUGUGAGGGCCCCGCAGGUGUAGCAGUCACCUUGGCCAGGCGGGGUCGGGGUGAGGAGAGGAGAUGACUCUGGCCGCCAUCCGAGCAGGAAGGGCGAGGCCCUCGGGGCUGAGAGGUUGGACCCGACUGGAGAGGCAUUUCCUGGCAGGAAGCCACAGCCUGAGAUGGGGGCGAUUGGGGUGCAGGUCGGGCGCAGUCAAGGGCGGCUCUAGUGCCAGGAUUAGGUGCCUCGGCUGCUGCGGAGGGGUUCCAUUAAUGGGCCUUAGACCAACCUGGGUCUUGGUUUUCAUAGAAUAGUACUCUUUAAUAAAGGUCAGUCAUGAAUGAAAUGGGAUUUGUUUUGUUGCUUUGAGUAUUUCUCAUUGAACUGUGUCUGCAGAUCAAAAAUAGGCCAAGCUUUGCGCAGUGCAGUCCGGUAGCCAAUGAAGUUUAUCUGAGGGGCGAUUAUUGCUAAUUGAAGAAGAAAAAUAUACCAGACUAUGAGGCUACCUAAUCUUGGGCGAUCAAGAUAGACCCUUAGCCCUCGCCGGUUUGGCUCAGUGGAUAGAGCGUCGCCUGUGGAUCAAAGGGUCUCGGGUUCGAUUCUGGUCAAGGGCAUGUACCUGGGUUGCAGGCUCCUCCCCAGCCCGCACCCUGGUCAGAGCAAGUGCAGGAGGCAACCAAUCAUGUGUUUCCCUCACAUCGAUGUUUCUCUCUGUCUUUCCCUCUCUCUUCCACUUUUCCCCUAAAAAUCAAUGGGAAAAUAUCCUGGGGUGAGGAUUUUAAAUAAAUAAAUAAAAAUAAGAUACAGGCUCUUCCAGUGGGAAAUAGGUGCUGAGAAAAGCCUGGGGACAGGCGAAGCACGCUUUUGUCUUUCAGCUCCGUACCUUGGAAGAAAUCAAGCAGGCCACAAGACAGCAGAAAUUCAUAGCCCAGAACAUCCUGGCCAGGAGGAACUUCAAGUCAGAUGUACCCAUUUUAUAAGUAAGGAAGUAACCUCCA
Molecule: long non-coding RNA, 1482 nt
Organism: Myotis daubentonii (Daubenton's bat)
Lineage: Eukaryota; Metazoa; Chordata; Mammalia; Chiroptera; Vespertilionidae
Source: RefSeq, a predicted model, not a curated record